Molecule: ribosomal RNA, 527 nt
Filed under: uncultured fungus
Lineage: Eukaryota; Fungi
Description: partial 18S ribosomal RNA
Rfam family: 5.8S ribosomal RNA (bases 186-339)
Source: RNAcentral
UAGUAGGUGAACCUGCGGAAGGAUCAUUACAGAAAUAGGAGAAGGUUGCUUAACUGCAAUCCUUUUCUUUCUACACAUGUGUUUUUCUUUUUUUUGAAAACUUUGCUUUGGUGGGCCCACGGCCUGCCAGAGAUUAAACUCAACCAAAUUUUAUUUAAUUGUCAACUUGAUUAACUAAUAGUCAAAACUUUCAACAGCGGAUCUCUUGGUUCUCGCAUCGAUGAAGAACGCAGCGAAAUGCGAUAAGUAAUAUGAAUUGCAGAUAUUCGUGAAUCAUCGAAUCUUUGAACGCACAUUGCGCCCUUUGGUAUUCCAAAGGGCAUGCCUGUUUGAGCGUCAUUUCUCCCUCAAACCUUCGGGUUUGGUGUUGAGCGAUACGCUGGGUUUGCUUGAAAGAAAGGCGGAGUAUAAACUAAUGGAUAGGUUUUUUUUUCCACUCAUUGGUACAAACUCCAAACAUUCUUCCAAAUUCGACCUCAAAUCAGGUAGGACUACCCGCUGAACUUAAGCAUAUCAAUAAGCGGAGG